AUUGAACGCUGGCGGCAGGCCUAACACAUGCAAGUCGAGCGGUAGCACAGAAGAGCUUGCUCUUUGGGUGACGAGCGGCGGACGGGUGAGUAAUGUCUGGGAAACUGCCUGAUGGAGGGGGAUAACUACUGGAAACGGUAGCUAAUACCGCAUAACCUCGCAAGAGCAAAGAGGGGGACCUUUGGGCCUCUCGCCAUCUGAUGUGCCCAGACGGGAUUAGCUAGUAGGUGAGGUAAUGGCUCACCUAGGCGACGAUCCCUAGCUGGUCUGAGAGGAUGACCAGCCACACUGGAACUGAGACACGGUCCAGACUCCUACGGGAGGCAGCAGUGGGGAAUAUUGCACAAUGGGCGCAAGCCUGAUGCAGCCAUGCCGCGUGUGUGAAGAAGGCCUUCGGGUUGUAAAGCACUUUCAGCGGGGAGGAAGGCGGUAAGGUUAAUAACCUUAUCGAUUGACGUUACCCGCAGAAGAAGCACCGGCUAACUCCGUGCCAGCAGCCGCAGUAA
Molecule: ribosomal RNA, 506 nt
Filed under: uncultured bacterium
Lineage: Bacteria
Description: partial 16S ribosomal RNA
Rfam family: Bacterial small subunit ribosomal RNA
Source: RNAcentral